RNAcentral lists this ribosomal RNA (253 nucleotides) under uncultured bacterium. RNAcentral's name for it is "partial 16S ribosomal RNA". It matches the Rfam family "Bacterial small subunit ribosomal RNA", at positions 524 to 776 of the family's 1533-position model. The record is from RNAcentral.
GACAGAGGUGGCGAGCGUUGUCCGGAAUUACUGGGCGUAAAGAGCUCGUAGGCGGCCUGUUAAGUCGGAUGUGAAAGCCCCCGGCUCAACUGGGGAAUUGCAUCCGAUACUGGCAGGCUAGAGUCUGGUAGAGGGAGGUGGAAUUCCCGGUGUAGCGGUGAAAUGCGCAGAUAUCGGGAGGAACACCGGUGGCGAAGGCGGCCUCCUGGGCCAUGACUGACGCUGAGGAGCGAAAGCUGGGGGAGCGAACAGG